This is an RNA transcript of Phascolarctos cinereus (koala), 3774 nucleotides long. It is a transcript of the gene named DLA class II histocompatibility antigen, DR-1 beta chain-like, with no coding region annotated. The record is from RefSeq and is a predicted model, not a curated record. Lineage: Eukaryota; Metazoa; Chordata; Mammalia; Diprotodontia; Phascolarctidae.
GGCAGUUUCUAAGAGCUGGGGACCACCUGACUGCCAUUCCUCUGUGUCCCUUGUCCUUUCCCUGCCUCCAGGAUGCUAUGUGUGUGGACAAAAGUUCUGAUGAUGACCCUGCUAGUGCUGAAUUCCCUAGUGGCUGCAGGCAGAGAAACUCCAGAGCACUUUAUGGAGCAGAUGAAGGCUGAGUGUCACUUUGGCAAUGGGAUUGAGCACGUGCGGUUUGUGGGGAGACUCAUCUACAACCUCCAGGAGAUCUUGCGCUUCGACAGUGAUGUGGGGGAGUUCGUGGCCUUGACGGAGCUGUGGCGGCCCAUUGCAGAGCUAAUGAAUAGCCUGGUGGAGGCCCUGGAGCAAGCGCGGGCCCAGGUGGCCAUGUGCAGGGACAACUAUAGGUUGUUGGAGUCCUGGAUGCAGAAGAAGGUUGAGCCUCAAGUGACUGUGUAUCCAUCAAAGAUUGCUACCCUAGAAUACCCAAACCAGCUUAUCUGUUUUGUUACUGGUUUCUAUCCUGGGGACAUUGAGGUAAGGUGGUUCCUGAAUGGUCAGGAGGAGACAUUUGGGGUUAUGUCCACAGGCCUGAUUAGCAAUGGAGACUGGACCUACCAGAUCCUGGUGAUGCUGGAAAUGAUCCCCAAGUAUGGACAAGUCUACACCUGCCAAGUGGAGCACUCCAGCCUUCAGAACUCUGUCAUUGUGGUCUGGGAAGCACCGUCCAGCUCUGACCAGAGAAAGAUGCUGAGUGGACUUGGGGGCCUUGUGCUAGGGCUGAUCUUCCUUGGGGUUGGCCUCGCUGUUCACCUUAGGAGUCUGAAAGGUUUUGAAACUAAGUAACACCUUGGACACUGAAAGGGGAAGAAGUGAUGCUGCUUAUGGGCUCAAAGCCCUGCAAGUGAUUCACCACUGUCUUCUGAUAGUCUCCAUCUGACCCCUGAGGCUGUGUGUCCCCUGGAGCUGGUACUUCUCCCCCCAGCAUCUCUCCCAAACAUGGAAGCCACCUGUCUGUACCACAAGAAGAAGAAACAGGUUCACAGAACAAUUUCCCAAGAUUUCAUGAGCAAGUCAGUGGAAGAUCCAGGACUAUAACCAAGCUCUUCUGUUGUAUGAUCCAAAGCUUUCCCAGUGUGGCCCCAUUGUCCACAGAGAUGUUGCCCUGUGUAUCAGAGCUGGGGGCAUCUCCCAAGUGAGGCUUAUGCAAGUUGGUGUAACAGAUCACCCCACCUCAAACUUCUCCUAUCCUGGCCCUGCUUUGAAGGCAGAUGGUCCCUGUAAGAUGACAAAAAUAUACCAGAGUACAGAAAAGUGGGGUAAUGUGGAGAAUGGCAUGAAGGUUGGGGUGGAUGACUGGUUGGAGAAAUGGAGCUAGAUAUGAGAAGUGUGAGCAGGAGAUUGGAGGGGAAAGGGAAGGAACAAAGAUGAAGAAAAGGCUCAGGGUAAUAUUCUGGAGAGAAGAAAGGUCAAAAAGGAGAGAGGAACAGCACUAUUCUCAUGUACACACCACACAAUCUACAAUUCUUUGAAGAAAGUAUCACCACCGCUCAUGUGAGAGCCCCAUGGAGUCUUCCAUGACAUUAAUCUGAGAGGUGACUCUGAAGAAUGCAGCAUCACAAGGUCCUUUUACAAAAAUUGACCAUGUAUUUUUGGCAUAGAGAAAUUACAAAUAAAUGUCAAAAGGCAGAAAUACUAAACACACCCUUUGCCAGUCAUAGCAUCAUAAGAAAAAUCACCAAUUCAGGAGGAAAGAAACAGACCUAAAUGAAGACUUCAUAAUAAAAUCCUGAAUAAUGAGUACAUAGAAGAACAAGUCAUAGAAAUAAUAAUUACAUGAAAAACCGAUGGUGAGACAACAUACGAAAAUUUCCAAAUGCAACUAAAGCAGUCCUCAGAAUAAAUAUGAUUUCCUUAAAAAUAUAAACUUUAAAAACAGAUCAACCAAAUAUGUAUUUUAGCCUUCAAAAAGUCAUCAAAUAAAUCCAAAAUAAAUAUGAAGUGUAUAUCUUCAAAAUCAGAGGAGAAAAAGAUGAGUAGUAAACCAAAAUCAUUCUAGAACUGAUUAAUAAAACUGAAGGUCAAUGUUUUGAAGACAACUAAAAUUUCUAUCUUUUAGCCAGCCUAAUUAAAAGGAAGAUGUCAGAGACAGUGCUUAUUUAGGGGUAGAGAUAAUUCAAUUUCCAUGUUUUUUAAUUCUCUACUGUGGUUAGAUUACCAUAAGCUUGGGGAGAGUGGAAUAGACAAGAGAUUUGACUCUGAGACUCCAUGCAUUUUCAAUGACUGUCUCCCUUACCUGGAAUUCUCUCUGUCUUUUUCCCACUACAUAUAAUCCUCUAUUCAUCUGUCCAACUGCUCUUCUUAAAGGGCAAUUUGGACCAUAUACCCCCCCCAUCCCAUUCAAUAUGUUCAAGUGCAUCCGUGUUGUCUGCAGAAUCCAACAUAAAAUCCUGUUUGGCUUUAAAGCCCUUCACCAUUACACCCUUCCUACCUUUCUAGUCAUGAAUCCCUUCCCUCCUCCCCUACCUCCAUGAACCCUACAAUCCAGUGAAAUUGGACUCCUUACUGCUUUUCUCAUGUGACACUCUACCUCCCAACUCCCAAGUUUUCACUGGUUGUCCACCAUGCCUGGAACAGUCUUUUUCAUCUCUACUUCCUGACUUUCCUAGCUUCAUUCAAGCAUCAGAUAAAGUCCCCCUUUCUGCAAGAAACCUUUCUAAGGCCUCCUUCAUUUUCACACCUUCCCUCUGAGAAGACCCCCCAUUUUCUUGUAUAUAUCUUCUUUGUGCACAGUUGUUUGCAUGCUGUCUCUCUCAUUAGAUUGUGAGCUCCUUGAGGGCAGGCUGUUUUUGUCUUUCUUUGUAUUUCCUAUUCUUUUCACAAUACAUGGUGCACAGUAGGUACACAAUGCAUACUUGUUGACUUUCAUAAUCUGCCCUUCAUAGAAUUUUAUUAUUUCUAUUGCAGUAGUACAUGUGAUUGGUGAGGUAGGCUAGUACUAGUGUGGCAGCAAUAGGAAUGGAAAAGAGGGAAUGAUUCAGUGACAUUAAAGUGGUAGAACUGAUUGGGUGUGAGGAAAGAGGGAGAGAGGGAAAGUUCAAGUUCAUUCUCCCAGAACUCCUGUUUUCUGCAUUCCCCUCCUGGGUGGAGUCUGACUCUAAGGAAUUUUACACCUUGCCUCAGUGGCCCUCUCACCCUGGAACUUCCCUCAUGGUCUAGGACCUUCUGACCCUGAAAUAUCCUUGUGUCAUGUUAGCCUCCUCUUUCCAUUGGUGAGAUCCUUUUGCGGGUCUCCAUUUGGAACAUGGACCUAGGCCAGUUAUGCUUCCUUUCACUCCAUCCUCUGCUUCUGACUCUAUGAAUUUUGCCACCAUUCCUAUAUCUAAGUACUUCUUUCUCCCCAUUUUAUUUAUUUUCUUCUGCAUUAGAUUGUAAGCUCCUCAAGAGUUAGGACUAUCUUUCUUUUGUCUUCUUUAUGUCCCCGCUACAAUGACUGCCUGGCAAAUAAUAAGUCCUUAAUGCUUAUUCUUAGACACUUACCUUUCUCCAUGAUGACUUUUUCAAUAUAUGUUUUAGGCAUAGUAUUCAAGCAAAGGCACUGCAAAAUUUCUGUUAGGGAUCUGUAAGGAUGUAGAGGGCCACAGACAGUUCACGAGAUCUCACUGAAGGGCUGAGGCCCCUCUCAGGUGUUGGUCCAUGAGCCUUAAAGAUUGCCUGGUUCAGUGCUCCAUUCUAUGCAUCUCUAACUUCCCUAGUUACUCAUUAGUCAUUAACAGUGUAUUUGUGAUUGGU